This 30-nucleotide small RNA is filed under the name Bombyx mori (domestic silkworm). Its description in RNAcentral is "ovarian small RNA-25890". The record is from RNAcentral. Lineage: Eukaryota; Metazoa; Arthropoda; Insecta; Lepidoptera; Bombycidae.
UCAUACAAUGCAAAGGCACAGGGCCUUGGC